RNAcentral lists this ribosomal RNA (672 nucleotides) under uncultured bacterium. Its description in RNAcentral is "bacterial SSU rRNA". It matches the Rfam family "Bacterial small subunit ribosomal RNA", at positions 8 to 674 of the family's 1533-position model. The record is from RNAcentral.
AGAGUUUGAUCCUGGCUCAGGAUGAACGCGUGGCGGCGUGCUUAACACAUGCAAGUCGAACGAAGCGCGCGGAAGGAAGGCCUUCGGACCGGAAAUCCGCGGGACUGAGUGGCGGACGGGUGAGUAACGCGUGGGCAACCUGCCCCGUACAGGGGGAUAACAGCCGGAAACGGCUGCUAAUACCGCAUAGGCGCACAGCGCCGCAUGGCGCGGUGUGAAAAGCUCCGGCGGUACGGGAGGGGCCCGCGUCUGAUUAUGCAGUUGGCGGGGCAGCGGCCCACCAAACCGACUAUCAGUAGCCGGCCGGAGAGGGCGGCCGGCCCCCUUGGGACUGAUACACCGCCCAUCCUCCUGCGGGAGGCGACGGUGGGGAAUAUUGCCCUGUGGGGGACACCCUGAUGCAGCGACGCCGCGUGAGCGAAGAAGUAUUUCGGUAUGUAAAGCUCUAUCAGCAGGGAAGAAAAAAAUGACGGUACCUGAGUAAGAAGCACCGGCUAAAUACGUGCCAGCAGCCGCGGUAAUACGUAUGGUGCAAGCGUUAUCCGGAUUUACUGGGUGUAAAGGGAGCGUAGGCGGCGCGUUAAGUCUGAUGUGAAAACCCGAGGCUCAACCACGGGAGUGCAUUGGAAACUGGCGUGCUGGAGUGCCGGAGAGGUAAGCGGAAUUCCUAGU